UACAUAGGGUGCGAGCGUUGUCCGGAAUUACUGGGCGUAAAGAGCUCGUAGGUGGUUUGUCGCGUUGUCCGUGAAAACUCACAGCUCAACUGUGGGCGUGCGGGCGAUACGGGCAGACUGGAGUACUGCAGGGGAGACUGGAAUUCCUGGUGUAGCGGUGGAAUGCGCAGAUAUCAGGAGGAACACCGGUGGCGAAGGCGGGUCUCUGGGCAGUAACUGACGCUGAGGAGCGAAAGCGUGGGGAGCGAACAGG
RNAcentral lists this ribosomal RNA (253 nucleotides) under uncultured bacterium. RNAcentral's name for it is "partial 16S ribosomal RNA". It matches the Rfam family "Bacterial small subunit ribosomal RNA", at positions 524 to 776 of the family's 1533-position model. The record is from RNAcentral.